AGCUCUAAUAGCGUAUAUUAAAGUUGUUGCAGUUAAAGCUCGUAGUCGGAUGUCGGGCUCGGAGAGGCUGUCGGCCUACGGUCGGACGGCAACUCCGGGCCUUUCUGCCUGGGGAUCCUACUCUACUUAAUUGUAGGGUAGUGGGACGCAGGCCGUUUACUUUGAAAAUUAGAGUGUUCAAAGCAGGCCUACGCUUGAAUACAUUAGCAUGGAAUAAUGGAAUAGGACUUUGGUCUUAUUUGUUGGUUUAUGGGACCGAAGUAAUGAUUAACAGGGACAGUUGGGGCCGUUUAUAUUUCGUUGUCAGAGGUGAAAUUCUUGGAUUUACGAAAGAUAAACUUCUGCGAAAGCAUUCGGCAAGGAUGUUUUUCA
RNAcentral lists this ribosomal RNA (372 nucleotides) under uncultured eukaryote. RNAcentral describes it as "SSU rRNA". It matches the Rfam family "Eukaryotic small subunit ribosomal RNA", at positions 587 to 973 of the family's 1831-position model. The record is from RNAcentral.